CAUGCAAGUCGAACGAUGACUAUCUAGCUUGCUAGAUAUGAUUAGUGGCGAACGGGUGAGUAAUGCUUAGGAAUCUGCCUAUUAGUGGGGGAUAACCAUCCGAAAGGAUGGCUAAUACCGCAUACGUCUUACGAGAGAAAGGGGGCUUUUAGCUCUCGCUAAUAGAUGAGCCUAAGUCGGAUUAGCUAGUUGGUGGGGUAAAGGCCUACCAAGGCGACGAUCUGUAGCUGGUCUGAGAGGAUGAUCAGCCACACUGGGACUGAGACACGGCCCAGACUCCUACGGGAGGCAGCAGUGGGGAAUAUUGGACAAUGGGCGAAAGCCUGAUCCAGCCAUGCCGCGUGUGUGAAGAAGGCCUUUUGGUUGUAAAGCACUUUAAGUGGGGAGGAAAAGCUUGUGGUUAAUACCCACAAGCCCUGACGUUACCUACAGAAUAAGCACCGGCUAACUCUGUGCCAGCAGCCGCGGUAAUACAGAGGGUGCAAGCGUUAAUCGGAAUUACUGGGCGUAAAGCGAGCGUAGGUGGUCAUUUAAGUCAGAUGUGAAAGCCCCGGGCUUAACCUGGGAACUGCAUCUGAUACUGGAUGACUAGAGUAGGUGAGAGGGAAGUAGAAUUCCAGGUGUAGCGGUGAAAUGCGUAGAGAUCUGGAGGAAUACCGAUGGCGAAGGCAGCUUCCUGGCAUCAUACUGACACUGAGGUUCGAAAGCGUGGGUAGCAAACAGGAUUAGAUACCCUGGUAGUCCACGCCGUAAACGAUGUCUACCAGUCGUUGGGUCUUUUAAAGACUUAGUGACCCAGUUAACGCAAUAAGUAGACCGCCUGGGGAGUACGGCCGCAAGGUUAAAACUCAAUGAAUUGACGGGGGCCCGCACAACCGGUGGAGCAUGUGGUUUAUUCCAUGCAACGCGAAAACCUUACCUGGUCUUGACAUAAUAGGAAUCCUGCAGAGAUGCGGGAGUGCCUUCGGGAAUCUACAUACAGGUGCUGCAUGGCUGUCGUCAGCUCGUGUCGUGAGAUGUUGGGUUAAGUCCCGCAACGAGCGCAACCCUUUUCCUUAGUUACCAGCGACUCGGUCGGGAACUCUAAGGAUACUGCCAGUGACAAACUGGAGGAAGGCGGGGACGACGUCAAGUCAUCAUGGCCCUUACGACCAGGGCUACACACGUGCUACAAUGGUUGGUACAAAGGGUUGCUACACAGCGAUGUGAUGCUAAUCUCAAAAAGCCAAUCGUAGUCCGGAUUAGAGUCUGCAACUCGACUCUAUGAAGUCGGAAUCGCUAGUAAUCGCAGAUCAGAAUGCUGCGGUGAAUACGUUCCCGGGCCUUGUACACACCGCCCGUCACACCAUGGGAGUUGAUCUCACCAGAAGUGGGUAGCCUAACGCAAGAGGGCGCUCACCACG
RNAcentral lists this ribosomal RNA (1403 nucleotides) under Moraxella bovoculi. Its description in RNAcentral is "16S ribosomal RNA". It matches the Rfam family "Bacterial small subunit ribosomal RNA". Lineage: Bacteria; Pseudomonadati; Pseudomonadota; Gammaproteobacteria; Moraxellales; Moraxellaceae. The record is from RNAcentral.